CAGGGAAUAUAUGUAUGUUGUGUGAAAUAUCUGUGUGCACUAUUAAUUUUUAAGAGUCAACAGAGUCCCACAAUCUUUUGGGUGGAGUUUGGUGAGAAUGGGUACAGCAGUGGGAGGCCAUGUAUCCACAAAUCUUAUUUUGUAUAUGAUCACUAACAGUCAUAUAACUGACAGUCAUAAUGGUUUUGUUUUAUCUCACUGUUUUGGCACUUCUUACAGAGAGUGUUUUUGCGAAUGCAAUAACAGCCCUGUCUUCCGAAAAUAAUGCUUUUGAAGGAGGAAAAGCGACUGUUUCAUGCAACUACAGUGGAAGUAGCAUUCAGAGUUGGCAGUGGUACAGACAGUAUCCCAACACUGCCCCUGAAUUUCUCUUGCAAGCUUUUGAAAGUUUGGGUCAAGCGCAGAAGGACCGUCAUGUUGCUGAAGCUCAAAAAGACAAAAAUCAUCUGAACCUGGAGAUCUCCAAAACUGAGGUGGCAGAUACUGCAAUAUACUACUGUGCCCUGGUGUCCACAGUAACAGGAAACCCUCCAACACUGUACAAAAACAUGAGAUGAGGAGGAAUUCAUUUUAUUUACAUGUUUAGCUAAUUUUCUAAAACUUUUAAUGAUAUCCCAAAUAAUAUUCUUCUAAUGUCAAAGUGUUCGUCACACAGAGACAGUAUUUAUCAGAGAAAAUGUAGAUUUAGAGGGCGGAGCUCUCUCACUAAGAUGCUGAUUCAAAGUCUCUCUACUUUCACUGACUUCUCUGAAGAUCAUCCAUCAUGUUUCUCUUUUGUUGGACAGUUUCAUUAUUCUUCGGUAUUUCUUUUGCGAACACAAUAGAACCAUUAUCCUCUGAAAAGCAUGUUUUCAGAGGUGAAAGCGUGGUUCUUUCUUGUAAGUACAGUGGCAACGUAGAUAAUCUGCAGUGGUAUCGUCAAUAUCCUGGAUCUCGACCAGAGCACCUCAUUCUCAUCACAGAAUAUUCAGAACCUGAUCUUUCACGUCGUCUGUCAGCAAAAGCUACAAAAGACCUAAAACAAGUGAAUCUUACAAUCUCCUCUGCUGAAGAGACAGAUUCUGCUCUGUACUACUGUGCCCU
Molecule: long non-coding RNA, 1083 nt
Organism: Carassius gibelio (silver crucian carp)
Lineage: Eukaryota; Metazoa; Chordata; Actinopteri; Cypriniformes; Cyprinidae
Exons: 3
Source: RefSeq, a predicted model, not a curated record